GACGAACGCUGGCGGCGUGCUUAACACAUGCAAGUCGAACGCUGAAGCUCAGCUUUUGUUGGGUGGAUGAGUGGCGAACGGGUGAGUAACACGUGAGUAACCUGCCCCCUUCUUUGGGAUAACGCCCGGAAACGGGUGCUAAUACUGGAUAUUCACUGGUCUUCGCAUGGGGGUUGGUGGAAAGGGUUUUUCUGGUGGGGGAUGGGCUCGCGGCCUAUCAGCUUGUUGGUGGGGUGAUGGCCUACCAAGGCUUUGACGGGUAGCCGGCCUGAGAGGGUGACCGGUCACAUUGGGACGGAGAUACGGCCCAGACUCCUACGGGAGGCAGCAGUGGGGAAUAUUGCACAAGGGGCGCAAGCCUGAUGCAGCGACGCCGCGGGAGGGAUGGAGGCCUUCGGGUUGUGAACCUCUUUCGCUCAUGGUCAAGCCGCAACAAUGGUUGUGGUGAGGGUAGUGGGUAAAGAAGCGCCGGCUAACUACGUG
This 483-nucleotide ribosomal RNA is filed under the name uncultured bacterium. RNAcentral's name for it is "partial 16S ribosomal RNA". It matches the Rfam family "Bacterial small subunit ribosomal RNA", at positions 28 to 507 of the family's 1533-position model. The record is from RNAcentral.